GAUGAACGCUAGCGGGAGGCCUAACACAUGCAAGCCGAGCGGUAUUUGUUCUUCGGAACAGAGAGAGCGGCGCACGGGUGCGGAACACGUGUGCAACCUGCCUUUAUCUGGGGGAUAGCCUUUCGAAAGGAAGAUUAAUACCCCAUAAUAUAUUGAGUGGCAUCAUUUGAUAUUGAAAACUCCGGUGGAUAGAGAUGGGCACGCGCAAGAUUAGAUAGUUGGUGAGGUAACGGCUCACCAAGUCAAUGAUCUUUAGGGGGCCUGAGAGGGUGAUCCCCCACACUGGUACUGAGACACGGACCAGACUCCUACGGGAGGCAGCAGUGAGGAAUAUUGGACAAUGGGUUAGCGCCUGAUCCAGUCAUCCCGCGUGAAGGACGACGGCCCUAUGGGUUGUAAACUUCUUUUGUAUAGGGAUAAACCUACUCUCGUGAGAGUAGCUGAAGGUACUAUACGAAUAAGCACCGGCUAACUCCGUG
Molecule: ribosomal RNA, 479 nt
Filed under: uncultured bacterium
Lineage: Bacteria
Description: partial 16S ribosomal RNA
Rfam family: Bacterial small subunit ribosomal RNA
Source: RNAcentral